UACGUAGGGGGCAAGCGUUGUCCGGAAUCAUUGGGCGUAAAGGGCUCGUAGGCGGUUUGUCGCGUCGGGAGUGAAAACCUUGGGCUUAACUCAGGGCUUGCUUUCGAUACGGGCAGACUAGAGGUAUGCAGGGGAGAACGGAAUUCCUGGUGUAGCGGUGAAAUGCGCAGAUAUCAGGAGGAACACCGGUGGCGAAGGCGGUUCUCUGGGCAUGAUCUGACGCUGAGGAGCGAAAGUGUGGGGAGCGAACAGG
Molecule: ribosomal RNA, 253 nt
Filed under: uncultured bacterium
Lineage: Bacteria
Description: partial 16S ribosomal RNA
Rfam family: Bacterial small subunit ribosomal RNA
Source: RNAcentral